UGAUAACCUCUUUGUUCCACUUUUUUCUUGUUGUGAGGAACAGAGUGAGAACUUCCAAGCUCCCUACAUGCCAUACUGGAGACUGGAAUUC
This is a non-coding RNA of Ceratotherium simum simum (southern white rhinoceros), 91 nucleotides long. The record is from RefSeq and is a predicted model, not a curated record. Lineage: Eukaryota; Metazoa; Chordata; Mammalia; Perissodactyla; Rhinocerotidae.